This 402-nucleotide ribosomal RNA is filed under the name uncultured bacterium. Its description in RNAcentral is "bacterial SSU rRNA". It matches the Rfam family "Bacterial small subunit ribosomal RNA", at positions 355 to 774 of the family's 1533-position model. The record is from RNAcentral.
UGGGGAAUCUUGCACAAUGGGGGAAACCCUGAUGCAGCGACGCCGCGUGAACGAUGAAGCCCUUCGGGGUGUAAAGUUCUUUCGACAGGAACGAUAAUGACGGUACCUGGAGAAGAAGCUGCGGCUAACUACGUGCCAGCAGCCGCGGUAAUACGUAGGCAGCGAGCGUUGUUCGGAGUUACUGGGCGUAAAGAGUGCGUAGGCGGCGAGCCAAGUUUGGUGUGAAAUCUCCCGGCUUAACCGGGAGGGUGCGCCGAAAACUGGUUGGCUGGAGUAUGGGAGAGGAAAGCGGAAUUCCUGGUGUAGCGGUGAAAUGCGUAGAUAUCAGGAGGAACACCUGCGGUGUAGACAGCUUUCUGGACCAAAACUGACGCUGAGGCACGAAAGCGUGGGGAGCAAACA